GUUGGAAGUAGUACUGAUCUGUAUUGAGUCUGACAACUGCAGCCCCACAUGACUUAAGGCUAUAGCAACCUGACACUGUAAGAACUCUCCAUCAGCAGCACAGUUUCAUAAAUAAGAGUGUGACUGGCAGGUGGGUCUGCACAGCUGGAGUUCGUUCAAGCCAAUUAGGAGGAGCAUAUAGAGGAGUGGAUUCCCUUAAGCCCCUAUUCCACACAGAUCACAAAUAAUACAAAUCGACAAGAAUUUCCAAAUUUCAGGAUUCUUGGUUGAAAGGAAGAAGCCUUGUUCGAGUCUGCAUUACCCACUCUGGUUUACAGUCUUCUGCCUCAACGCUCACAGAAACUGCUUGUAAUUCUCGCCUCUUUACUCCUUCUGUGAAGUCUCCUUACUGCUCAUCUGGUUGCUCCUCCCUGGACCUGCUGCCUGUACCCCCUCUGACUUACCUACCAUCAUCCACUUGCCUGUCCACCGUCAAUGAUCUUUCGUGCUCUCAUCUCCUAGAACAAGUAGAACAUCAUCGGAACCCACUCUAUUCACAGCAAACCUGCCAACCUCAACCCCUGCAGACAUACUCACCUACUCCCCUGGAUCCUCACCUUCUCCGUCCACAUGCCAUUCUGGAAGAGGCUCCCAAGUUUAGCAGAAACAUCUCCUUUUUCUAUUACAAUAAAUCAUUUAAAAUGGCAUCUGUUGUCCUUAGUUGUUGCCCUCACCAAGGUCUCACUAUGUACCCCAAAAAUUAUGCUGCAGUAGGAAGUAGGAAUUUUGUGACAGAUUCUGAACUAAAAGUGGAGCUUUAUAGUUCAAGGAUCCUAAACAUUUCUCACUCGUUUAAUAGUCCUAGAAUUUUGCUUCAGGCAUCUCUGAUUUUCUACCCUGUUGCAGUUCCUUUUUUCUGUCAUGUUUAAAUUGGACAACAGGGGUUUUGUAUUUGCAGGGGUUAUAUUUACACACAUUGAUCAAAUCCUACAAUCUUGGUGGAAAUGUUUAUUUUGAAAGUACAA
Molecule: long non-coding RNA, 1004 nt
Organism: Girardinichthys multiradiatus
Lineage: Eukaryota; Metazoa; Chordata; Actinopteri; Cyprinodontiformes; Goodeidae
Exons: 4
Source: RefSeq, a predicted model, not a curated record